Small nuclear RNA from Wyeomyia smithii (pitcher-plant mosquito), 180 nucleotides. RefSeq annotates it as U11 spliceosomal RNA. NCBI's taxonomy places the organism in Eukaryota, Metazoa, Arthropoda, Insecta, Diptera, Culicidae. The record is from RefSeq and is a predicted model, not a curated record. The transcript has a single exon.
CAAAAGGGUGUUCUACGUUUAUAUGGCACACGCGAUCGAGUUUCUUGAAAAAGGAUUCGGUCGGGUGAGAUAUGGUGAUCAAAACAUACCUUGCACGCAUUUUUUUCUCCGGAAAGCUGUUGACUGCUGAUAAUAAUCGAAAUGACUGCGCGAAAUGCUCAGUUUCAUUUUUAUGCUUCG